RNAcentral lists this ribosomal RNA (430 nucleotides) under uncultured bacterium. RNAcentral describes it as "bacterial SSU rRNA". It matches the Rfam family "Bacterial small subunit ribosomal RNA", at positions 30 to 450 of the family's 1533-position model. The record is from RNAcentral.
AUUGAACGCUGGCGGCGCGCCUAAUACAUGCAAGUCGAGCGAGAAGACGUAGCAAUACGUUUGUAAAGCGGCGAACGGGUGAGGAAUACAUGGGUAACCUACCCUAGAGUGGGGAACAACUAGCCGAAAGGUUAGCUAAUACCGCGUACGCUCCUUGGACUUCGGUUCAGGGAGGAAAGCGAUACCGAGGGUAUCGCGCUCUUGGAUGGGCUCAUGUCCUAUCAGCUUGUUGGGAGGUAACGGCUCACCAAGGCUUCGACGGGUAGCUGGUCUGAGAGGACGAUCAGCCACACUGGCACUGCGACACGGGCCAGACUCCUACGGGAGGCAGCAGUAAGGAAUAUUGCGCAAUGGGCGAAAGCCUGACGCAGCAACGCCGCGUGGAGGAUGAAGGCCCUUGGGUUGUAAACUCCUGUCGGCUGGGAAGAAA